RNAcentral lists this ribosomal RNA (680 nucleotides) under Kribbella sp. I11A-01803. Its description in RNAcentral is "bacterial SSU rRNA". It matches the Rfam family "Bacterial small subunit ribosomal RNA", at positions 94 to 788 of the family's 1533-position model. The record is from RNAcentral. Lineage: Bacteria; Bacillati; Actinomycetota; Actinomycetes; Propionibacteriales; Kribbellaceae.
AGCGGCGAACGGGUGAGUAACACGUGAGCAACCUACCCUCAACUUUGGGAUAAGCCUCGGAAACGGGGUCUAAUACCGGAUAUGAUCUCCUGCUUCAUGGUGGGGGGUUGAAAGUUCUGGCGGUUGGGGAUGGGCUCGCGGCCUAUCAGCUUGUUGGUGGGGUAAUGGCCUACCAAGGCGUCGACGGGUAGCCGGCCUGAGAGGGCGACCGGCCACACUGGGACUGAGACACGGCCCAGACUCCUACGGGAGGCAGCAGUGGGGAAUAUUGCGCAAUGGACGAAAGUCUGACGCAGCAACGCCGCGUGAGGGAUGACGGCCUUCGGGUUGUAAACCUCUUUCAGCAGGGACGAAGCGAGAGUGACGGUACCUGCAGAAGAAGGACCGGCCAACUACGUGCCAGCAGCCGCGGUAAUACGUAGGGUCCGAGCGUUGUCCGGAAUUAUUGGGCGUAAAGGGCUCGUAGGCGGUUCGUCACGUCGGGAGUGAAAACUCGGAGCUUAACUCCGAGCCUGCUUCCGAUACGGGCAGACUAGAGGUAGGCAGGGGAGAGCGGAACUCCUGGUGUAGCGGUGGAAUGCGCAGAUAUCAGGAAGAACACCGGUGGCGAAGGCGGCUCUCUGGGCCUUACCUGACGCUGAGGAGCGAAAGCGUGGGUAGCGAACAGGAUUAGAUACCCU